GGAAAUCAGCAAUGACAUUAUUGGUGGGAAGAACGGGAAAGACAGAACUGUGAGAGAUGAAUGUGUUUAUUCAUUUGGUAGACAAUCAUUUACUGAGUGUUAGUAUAUGUAUAUGUAUGUGUGUGUGUGUGUUCAUAUAAAUGAAACACAGUUCUUAACCUUGGGGAGAGGUACAUUAGCAAAUACUUUAUAAUCUAAUGUUGUGGUUACUAUGAUAAAUAAGGUUCUGGGGACACACAGAGGUGAGUGGUUGGAGGUCUGCCUAAUGGAAUCAGGGAAACGUCCAGUAGAGUUAAAAAGUAGAGGGGAGAUUGGCAGUGCAGGUGAUGGAGGGGAGGGUAUUUUGGACAGAGCACUGUAGUGUAAGACAGCUAGCUUGUGAUGUAUGCAUGGCUGAUGGAUGGAUGGGAGGUAGAGGGUCAGGAGAGGAGAAGUCAGGUAUACACUGGGGAGGGUGAUGGGAACCAAGUCAUGAGGCUUCUCUUCUGUGCUAAGGGCUUGGGGGUUUCCAAUACAAUGAAGAUUGCCCUUAAUUUAAUUUAUUUAUUUUUAUCUUUUUGCCUUUUCUAGUUCUGCUCCCAUGGCAUAUAGAGGUUUCCAGGCUAGGGGUCUAAUCACUGCUGUAGCCACUGGCCUGUACCACAGCCACAGCAAUACCAGAUCCAAGCCGUGUCUGCAACUUACACCACAGCUUAUGGCAAUGCUGGAUCCUUAACCCACUGAACAAGGCCAGGGAUCAAACCCACAACCUCCUGGUUCCUAGUCAGAUUUGUUAACCACUGAGCCACAAUGGGAAUUCCAGGAUUGCCUUUUAGAAUCUCUUCUGGGAUGAAAAUAUGGAAGAUGAAUUGAAUAAGUCUGUGACUGGAGGCAAGGAGACUGGUUAAGACACAUUUCUGUUAGUUUAGGAAAAACCCAAGAACAAGUUGAGGUAAGGCCAGGGCAGUGGGAAUACAGAGAUGAAGGCUGUUUGGACAGAGAGAAUUGAGAAAUUUUGAUGGACAAGAAUUGAGGGUGAGGGAAAGCCUGAGCCUCCAGGUAUGGGGCAAGAUAGAAGUUAGUCCCUAUUAAUAAGUGUUGGUUAGGUUGUCUGGCUUUGGGUGUGGUGAGGAGGGAGAGCUAAGACACAAUGAAGGCUCCGUUUUGAGUUGCAGAGGCAAACCUACUUCUCUCUAAUUCAAAAGAAACAAAAAAGGGGCCCUAUAGAGGCCUCUUCAUCCCCAUUCCAGAGGCUGCAUUAUGGUCCAUAGCAUCAUCUCUGAACAGGAAGGUCAGCCAAAGGAUGCAUCUUCAUGCAGAACAAGCUAAAGAACUACCAACCUAUUCUUAUAAAUCCAUGCUUGCCUGAUGUUAGAAUGAGUUCUUGGGUAAGUAAGAAAAUCUUGACCUCUCUUUCUCUUUGUUCUGUUGCUUCCCAUAAAGUGAAGCAAGAAUAGUAUGAAGGUAUUUAGUGAGGCUGAGUUGACUGAGCUCAGGUCCUCCAGGUCCUCUGUUUUGUCAUUGUCUUUGGACCUGACUUUGGUCCCAUUAUCUAAUUCAAUCUCCUCGCUUUCUUUUUUUCUUUGGACGGCACUGCCCAUUCUACCGUAUUACUCUUCUCUGUAUUCUAAGAAAAUGUGAAAGUUAGCUGUAUAAAAUAAUUAAUGGAAAGUUGCUAACUGUGUAAGAGGCUGAUGAAUGAACACAAAAUGCUUUGUAACUGCAAUAAUGAAAUGCACUAGGAAUCCAGCAAGAAACCCCUGAACAAGAUUCUCAUUUAUUCAGUCCUUUUUGUGAUUGUUGUUCAGUAUGUAUUGAGCACCUACUGUGUGCCAGGCACCAUUCUCAGUGUUUGAAACCAUCAAUCAACAAAACAGAUAAAAUUCCUUAAUCUCAUGGUGCCCACAGGUUGGGUUUACAGAGAUGAAUUUUUUAGUCAUCUCCAUACUGUCACCAGACUUCAUAAGCUUGCCAGAGUCAUGGCAAGGAUAAUGUGAUAGUCUUGAACAAGAAUAGUAUGGAGGUAUUUAGUAAUUAGCUAAUGGUAAUUGUUACUUUCAGCUCUAUUUUUCUUUCUCCUAUGGCUGGUCUGGUUUCUGCCUGCCCUGUGGACCUGUAUUGGCAUCCGUGCCUAUAUUAUUCUUCAACUGCUAUACACCUGGCUCUGCUUCCCACACGUUGAAGUGUAUCAGCAAAAUGUAAAUCCUGUCAAGGUCAGAGUACCAUUUAAUAUUGCAAAAAGUUGCUGGACUUGUCUAUUAGGGUACAGUGACCUGGUUACACCCAACUUUGCACCGCCACUUGGUGAGAUAUUUACAACAUCACAUGACCGUUUCAGAUAGAGGAACUUAAGCUGAAAGAAAUACAAAGCAGUUUGUCAGAUCCACCAGUGCAGUGGCCAUUAAUGACCUUCACCUUAGAAAGAAAUACAUGGGAUUCCGAUAGCCCCAAGCUGAGUCACACGUACCAUAAACAAUGGCCCUGUCCUUGUGACUUAUGUUCUGGACAACAAGGUGGCUCUGACUACUCCCUGGUCUCCUAGUCCAGGAAGGAGUUGUCAGAACAAGGUACUUAGUCUGUAAAUUUCUUUUUAUUUAUUUUUUUAUUAUAGGUGAUUUAUAAUGUCCUUUCAAAUUCUGCUGUACAGCAAAGUGACCCAGUCAUACACAUAUACACAUUAUUUUUCUCAUGUUAUCUUCUAUCAUGUUCUAGCAGAAGUGAUUGGAUACAGUCCCCUGUGCUAUACAGAAGGACCUCAUUGUUUAUCCAUUCUAAAUGUAAUAGUUAGCAUCUACUAACCCCAAACUCCCUGUCCAUCCCACUCCCUCCCUUUCUCCUCAGCAACCAAAAAUAUAUUCUUCAUGCCUGUGAGUCUGUUUCUGUUCUGCAGAUAGAACAUCUGAAUUUUUUUAAAGGAAUUGAAAUGCUUUCUUCUUUCUGUAUAUCAUCUCGUGGAUUAUAUCCAGUACCCCUGUGAGGUCGGCAUAAUCAUUCCUAUUUUAUAGAGGAUGACAUUGAGGCUUGGAGGAGUUACAUGACCUUUGUUCUUAGUCAUAGAACUAGAAAGUGACAGAAGCUGAAAGGAAUCUAUCCCUGAUAAUUCCAAAUCCAGUGCUUUUUGGACCAUGUUAUACUAUCUUCAAAGAGCAUUGAUAGGAAAAUAAUCUGUUAUGGAUACUGUACAUAACUGAACAUCAAAUGCACAGCCCCUUAUCACAGGAACCCAUAGACUCAUAGACAAUGGCUCCCAUUGCCAAACACUCUUAUACUGUCCCCUCUUUACACCCACAACCUAAGCUAGGUACUAGUGCUGGCAUCCCAUUUUACAGUGGUGGUUGAAAAACUAGUUUAGAACUAAUGAAGGGAGUUGCUGGAGUUAGAUUCAAUUUUUUUCUGACUCCGUAUUUAUCAAGGGUUUCUCCAAAGAUGACAUGGAUCUAUGUGCAACAACAGCAACAACAAACUAGAUCCUAUAUCCAGUGCUGAUGGAGCAGUUGAAUCCAAAGAAGAGUUGGGUUGGAGUUCCUGUUGUGGCUCAACAGAAACAAACCUGACACUGUAUCCAUGAGAGUGCAGAUUCAAUCCCUGGACUUGCUUAGUGGGUUAAGGAUCCAGGGUUGCCGUGAGCUGUGGCUUAGGUCACAGAUGCAGCUUAGAUCCCCUGUUGCUGUGGCUGUGGCAUAGGCCUGUAGCUUCAGCUCAAACUCUAUACCUAGUCCCAGGAACUUCCAUAUGCCACUGGUACAGCCCUAAAAAGAAAAAAGAAAGAAAGGAAGAAAAAAUAUUGUGGACCCCUAUGUUGCAAAUGUGCCUCAGUCCUCAUCUGAGAGGCUCUCUGGGGACACUGUCUUGCUGUCUCUGGUUUCCAUCUUGACCUGGCCCAUUGGCUUUAGCUGGAUUGAUCAUCUUGAGGCUCUUCAGUGAUGCUUACAUCUCUGAGCAAAGACUUGCUAAUCUAUCACGUCUUGUAAGAAUCCCCUCCCUCACAUGCUAAGGACUUCCAUUUGGACGCCUGACUCCCCCAUCACAGAGAGCUUGUGCCAGGUGCUCAGGAACCCCAGUGCCUGCUAUAUUUUCCUUCAGGGCAAUUGUCAUUACCUUGCAUUAAUUAUGUACUUAUUAUGUAUUUAUUUACAUUAAUUUUGUCCAUAUACCCUCCAGGUAGCAAACUCUACAAGGGGGGGGGGUGUGCUGCACCUGUGGCAUAUGGAAGUUCCCAGGCUAGGGGUAGAGUUGGAGCUGCAGCUGCUGUCCUUCACUAUAGCCACAGCAAUGCUGGAUCCAAGCUGCAUCGGCAACCUACACUGCAGCUCAUGGCAAUGCCAGAUCCUUAACCCACUGAGCAAGGCCAGGGAUCGAAACUGACACUAUGUUGGUUCUUAACCCAAUGAGCCACAAUGGGACUCCAAGAAGAGAUUUUUAUUACCUUUUUUCCCUAGUGCCUAAAACAGGGCCUGGAAUGUGCAGUAUUUACUGAGUGAAUGAAUGGAUAUUGACAGACAUGGAGAAGAUGUCUUAGGUGAACCUGUGGUGAGUUUGAGAACUUCUCAGGUUCUCUGUCUCUCAAUAUCAAAUUCCCAUCUUUUUCCAUUUCCCAAGUUUAGCAUUUCCCUGAUUCCUCUCCCGGUUCUUUUGGAGAAGUAAGCAGACCUGCUUUACACCUCUUCUUGAGGAAAAAAAAAUCAUAGCUCUUCACAGAAACCAUGAAAUUAGAUGAUGAACUCAGUGAAUACAAAGCAAACAGGCAGAGCUUGAGCCCACGAAGAAGACUUGAGUAAAAAGUAACAUUGCCCUGAAUUCAGAUGCCAGAAAACCUUGUAGUUGACUGUGUCCGCUGUGUUUUCCUGGGGCUAGCAGCCUGGGUCUGAUGGAUUAUGCCCAGUUGUAUUAAAAGUAUUGGCUUAGGGCUGAAUGAUCAUGAACAAGGUGGCUCUUUCUCCCAGAGCCCUCAGUCGACUUUCCAUCUGAGCAAACAUGAAGUCUCUUGGCUCUGGACCUUGUUUGCCUAUGGUGCAGAACAUGCUCUGUGCCUGGAGAUUGUGCUUUGGAAUUCUGAUGGGAUAUAUUUUGCCUUUGCCCCCUAUUCUCUUUCCCAUCUGGCUCCAGUUGCUUACAGAUGCUCUUAGAUUCAAUCACAACCUUGGUCAUUUUCUUGGACUUUCCUGCACACACCAUUAUUGCCAUGAGCAGGGGUUAACCACUCACUUGGCAAGCCUGAGAAAUCUAAAAACAGUUUUGGUAGGAUUCGGUCGUUUUGGUUUCUUGACCAGCUUUGGAAUAAUCACCCAAAGGGCUCUAGAAAAAGUGGCAUCACCAUGACUACUCUCAAUGGCCCAUUCUUGGCCUGGCUGGAGACCUAUAUCCUAGGCAGACUUCAUUCAGAACUUGGGGGUGAGGGUGGUUAAUCACUGAUGCUGGUGCAGGGGCUCUGCCAUAAGUGCUCCUAUCAUGGACAUUUGGGAAAAUGUCACAUCAAAAAGGACAAGAUUGCCAAGAGGAGGUCCUUUACCUUUUGUAGGACUGGUACUCCAUCUCUGAGAACCUUUAGCCCUUGUCUUGUCAGCAUCCUAAGCCUAUUUUCUCAUAACCUCCUUCAUAGCCACCUUUACCCAGCAUCCUGGUUCCCCUUUGGACUGCCUAGCUCCCUGUGUGAAACGAAUCCAUUGGUUAACAGAGUUGAUUAUCACAAUUUCCACCAUUCAGACUGAAUCUUGGGUGUCUGGGUAUUCUGCCUUCCUUGGUAGGUCCUUUGAUGUGUCUCUGUUGCCAAGUUCACUUCAAUUUGAAGCUUCAGCAUCCAGGGAACUCGGACAUUUAAAUGGAUUUACUCAGUGUCCAGCAGGAAAAAAAAAUCAAACAAACAAACAAAAAAACCUAGCUACAUGUUGUAUGUGAUUUCUCCUGGCUGAGUUUGGGUCAUUUGGGACCAGUGUUAAAAUACAAACAAGUAAGAGUUAACCCUUGAACAAUAUGUGGGUUAGGGAUGCACAUCCUCUGUGCAAUUGAAAAUCUGCACAUAACUUAUAGUCAGUCCUCAAUAUCUGUGGUUCCUUUGUCUCCUUGGUCCCUUCAUAUUCCUGAUUCACAUAUGAAGAUUAAACUGACAUCAAACUGUGCAGUACUGGAGCAUUUAUUCACAGGAAAAAAACAUCCAUGUGUGAGUUCUCUUGUGGUACAAUGAGUUAAGGAUCUGGUAUUGUCACUGCAGCAGCUUGGGUUGCUUCUGUGUAACAGGUCUGAUAUCCUUGGCCUGGGAACUGCCACAUGCCACUGGCAAGGCAAAAAAAGGUAGUUGACAAUACAUUUGAUUCC
Molecule: long non-coding RNA, 6291 nt
Filed under: Sus scrofa (pig)
Lineage: Eukaryota; Metazoa; Chordata; Mammalia; Artiodactyla; Suidae
Description: lncRNA (ENSSSCG00000061176.1)
Source: RNAcentral